GGACCUGGCAUGGCGUCCGCUGGGCGGGAGGCGCGGGGGGCACAGACCCGCUCCAGAUAUAUUCCCGUCCAUCAACCCCGGUUGACGUUGACGGGCAGAAUAGCGUGCAAGUGCCGGGUAUUUUAGACCAGCAGACGAAGUUCGUCAUUACAAGUGUCAACUAGCACGUCAUAGAGCAAUCGUCGCUGCAGAGCUGCCGGCUGCCGCGAGUGAUUGGCAGCGUGAUGCGCACCCGAUGAGAGCAAUACGAUAUGAACACACUUGUCACUCAGAGACUACACUAACUGAUUGAGAGCUCUUUUAGUUCGCAAAAGGGUCCAAUCGUGUUCGGAACUCCGCAACUAGUCGUUUUGAUUUGGCUUUGAAAACGCACGUUUAAAUUGAUUAGCUGCCUACCCCAGUCCAGCGCGGCGUGCGGCGACCUUACGUGUGCUGAGGGGGUGAUGAGGGCGGCGGGGGCGUCGCGGAAACCCCUGAAAUAUGAGUCGGCCAGUCGCCGGCUACAGUGAUUGAUGUCCACUGACUGACGUGCACGGAACGGGGUGUUUCACUGCGGACCAAGACAUAGGAGAUAGCGAUUAAGUCAAGGUCAUCGGAAUAUAAUAUUAGAUUUUCCAUAAAAUCUUACCUUGUGUAAAUCUUUAAACUAUUUUUUCACAGAUUGAUACACAAAUUAAUUUCCAAUCAAUAAUUUUGUCCUUAUCAUGAGUUCUAUAUCCUUUAUCCCACUCUUUUUGAUCGUUAUUUGUCAUUCUAAAAACGUAUGCGUCAUUUCAGUUAUUAUUUUCGUUUUUAUUUCACAGUUCAGUUUAAGCAAUCGAUCCAUGCUCGACUUAGGUCAUUAUACUGAAAUCGCUUCCGCUUAUAACGAGCACCAUUGUCAAUAGUUAGAGUACGUCAUAAGCGAGGUAAACACAGCGCUAUUACCGAGCACCCGGCGUCGCCUGGACUUUUAACACGAUACUUGAGGGGGCUGUGUUUGGACUACCUAAUGAAAUAUCGGAUACAAAAAUCCAUUGUGUACUUACUAGUUCAGUGG
This is a long non-coding RNA of Papilio polytes (common Mormon), 1039 nucleotides long. RefSeq lists it as uncharacterized. The transcript has 3 exons. The record is from RefSeq and is a predicted model, not a curated record. NCBI's taxonomy places the organism in Eukaryota, Metazoa, Arthropoda, Insecta, Lepidoptera, Papilionidae.